This 1453-nucleotide long non-coding RNA is filed under the name Lepisosteus oculatus (spotted gar). Its description in RNAcentral is "lncRNA (ENSLOCG00000022165.1)". Lineage: Eukaryota; Metazoa; Chordata; Actinopteri; Semionotiformes; Lepisosteidae. The record is from RNAcentral.
GGGGGGGGCGUGUUCUUGCUGCGCGCUCGCCAAGCCGGGGCCCUGUGUUUUGAAGGGGGGUGCUGGAGGGGGGGGCUCUCCCCCUCUCGGGGUGUCGGCGGUCGCUGCAGACCCGCGGGGUCCCGGGGCGCCUCUGCGCGAGCGGGCCGCAGGUCCGAGCGGGGAGGGGGCGGGGUGGGGAAAGGUGAGGGAGGGGGAGAAGGGGAGGUCUGACUCUGGGGGGGGAAUGAGACGAGACUCUGCAGAAGGAUCUUGUAUAUUUUUUGUAGGGGAAGAGCGAGAGGGGACAGAGUCAAUCUUUGGAAAUAUUUUUGUAUAUUUUUGUAUUGGGGGUGAGAAGUGUGAGUGAGGGAGAGAAUGGGACCCUGCUGUGAUUUUUAACCAGGAAACAUUCUGUAUAUUUUGUAUCAAUGGAGAGAGAUUGUGUGGAGGGGAGGGGGGGGGUCAGGUUUAAUUUGGUCAUUUGUAGAAAUGUGUAAUUUUAAUUUAGCUGUGGGCUCGUUAAAGCACUUAAUUGGUUAUCUUAAGUUUUGUUUCCUAGCUCAGUGUGUGUCUGUCUCUGUGCUGGGCACAGCGAUGGAACAGGCUGGCGAGAGAGGUCUUGGGAGAGACGAGAGAAAGAGAAUGACAGUAGACGCAGGGGUGACGAGAGGGCAUUGGUUAUGGCAAGCAGUCUGAUGGAGCAUAGGGACAGAGGGACAGAGGACAGGCCACACAGACAGAGGGACAGAGACAGGAGACACAGACAGAGGGACAGGAUUCACGGACAGGACACAGGAUGGGGUCAGAGACAGAGUGGGACAGAGGACACACAGACAGGCCACAGGAGAGGGUCAGAGACAGAGUGGGACAGGCCACAGGAGAGUGUCAGAGCUGGAGUUAGUCUGGUCUCUCUCCUUGUCUGUGUGUCUGUCUCUCCGGAGGCCAAGACACACCAGGUUAGAAUUACCUCAGACAUGAAGCCGCCCUCUAAUACCUUUGUAAUAAUGGUUAUCUGUUCCUUUUUGUUGUUAUUAUUAGCAUUGUUAAUUCUUAUUGUUGUCAUGAUUAUAUAUAGAUAUUUUUUGCAUUUCUUCUGAGACUUUUGAAAGAAAUGCCCUCUCUCAUUUUCCCGACCUCCUUGUAUUUAAACACAAAAAAACUACACUUCCCAUGAACCUGUUCACUGCCGGCAUCAUCCACACGGAGAUUACACCGCUGCCUGAGGUGCAUUGUUGGUGAUGUAGUUUUGCUUUUUUGGGAUUUAGAAAAUGACAUGGGAGGUGAUGCCCUGUUUUGACUCCAGUCACUUGGAGGCUACUUCUUGGCCCCCAAGGGAUUGUGGGAGAUGGAGUCCAGACUGAGGCAAGGAGCUGAAACACAACUGCACGGUACUUUUGAACUAGUUAUGCAAACCACAACUCCCAUGGGGCUUUUGUCCAUCAUCGUUAAUCACAGUGAAUUUCCUGCCUUG